Molecule: ribosomal RNA, 450 nt
Filed under: uncultured Glomeromycotina
Lineage: Eukaryota; Fungi; Glomeromycota
Description: SSU rRNA
Rfam family: Eukaryotic small subunit ribosomal RNA
Source: RNAcentral
AGCAGCCGCGGUAAUUCCAGCUCCAAUAGCGUAUAUUAAAGUUGUUGCAGUUAAAAAGCUCGUAGUUGAACCUCGGGAUCAAUGGAUCGGUCAUGCCAUCGGUAUGUACUGGUCUCAUUGGUUCUCACCUUCUAAGGAACCAUGAUGUCAUUCAUUUGAUGUUGUGGGGAAUUAGGACUGUUACCUUGAAAAAAUUAGAGUGUUUAAAGCAGGCUAACGCUUGAAUACAUUAGCAUGGAAUAAUGAAAUAGGACAUCGCAUUCUAUUUUGUUGGUUUCUAGGAUCGAUGUAAUGAUUAAUAGGGAUAGUUGGGGGCAUUAGUAUUCAAUUGUCAGAGGUGAAAUUCUUGGAUUUAUUGAAGACUAACUACUGCGAAAGCAUUUGCCAAGGAUGUUUUCAUUAAUCAAGAACGAAAGUUAGGGGAUCGAAGACGAUCAGAUACCGUCGUAG